Molecule: ribosomal RNA, 497 nt
Filed under: uncultured bacterium
Lineage: Bacteria
Description: partial 16S ribosomal RNA
Rfam family: Bacterial small subunit ribosomal RNA
Source: RNAcentral
GAUGAACGCUGGCGGCGUGCCUAAUACAUGCAAGUCGAGCGAACAGACGAGGAGCUUGCUCCUUUGACGUUAGCGGCGGACGGGUGAGUAACACGUGGGUAACCUACCUAUAAGACUGGGAUAACUUCGGGAAACCGGAGCUAAUACCGGAUAAUAUUUUGAACCGCAUGGUUCGAUAGUGAAAGAUGGCUUUGCUAUCACUUAUAGAUGGACCUGCGCUGUAUUAGCUAGUUGGUAAGGUAACGGCUUACCAAGGCAACGAUACGUAGCCGACCUGAGAGGGUGAUCGGCCACACUGGAACUGAGACACGGUCCAGACUCCUACGGGAGGCAGCAGUAGGGAAUCUUCCGCAAUGGGCGAAAGCCUGACGGAGCAACGCCGCGUGAGUGAUGAAGGUCUUCGGAUCGUAAAACUCUGUUAUUAGGGAAGAACAAACGUGUAAGUAACUGUGCACGUCUUGACGGUACCUAAUCAGAAAGCCACGGCUAACUACGUG